RNAcentral lists this non-coding RNA (1216 nucleotides) under Pan troglodytes (chimpanzee). The record is from RNAcentral. Lineage: Eukaryota; Metazoa; Chordata; Mammalia; Primates; Hominidae.
AGUCGCCAGGCACCGGCCACGGCGCACGCCAACAUUCAGGAUAAUUCUCCUUUCCAAGCCCGGGAGUUCCGGGGCAGGCGAAAAAGGGGGGAUGGGAGACCCACAGUCCCUUUAACCCUCCCCCCUGGCCUGCCAACCUUUUCCGAACCCCCAUGUCACACAACUUCCUCAUCAUGGAAACUUCCACUGGGUUCGGCGCUGAGGAUGCCAAACUCCAUUUCACAAGGAACAUGUCAACAGCUGGGCUUGGGGUUUGAGGAACAGAGUCGCUGCGAUUGGAACAGAGCCCGGCCACCCUGUUCCACCACUGUCCACUCCGUAGCUCCCAGCCUGCCGCCGCGCGGUGCCCGAACACGAGAGGGCACCUCCUCCCAGAUCCGGGGCGCAGAAGCCCCGCGGAGGCAGGUAGAAGAUUCUGAGGCCCUGGGCGGGAACUAGUAAGCCACAAUCUGGAAGAGUCUUUUAUCACCAUGUGGAGGAGAACUAGAGCACUCAUGUUGAACUAUUACCGAGAAAAGUAAUCAACUUCUUUUGUGUUAAGUCACUGAAAGGCAAGUGUUAAUUUGUUGCAGUAAUUGGUGCUCCCUUAACACACCUGUCAGCCAGGCCAAACUCUAUCACAGCAUAAAUAAUCUUUUCCUUAAAUAAAUACAGGUAAAAGAAUAAAAUAGACCUAAGUGCAUUAAUAUGAAUAUAGGCUCAAAGCAAAAUGUUGGGCUAUAAAUGUUCAGAGUGAUAAUUUUUUAAGUUGAUGUGUAAUUUAGUACAGUAAAAUAGAUAAAACCUAAAUGUUCAGUUCAAUGAAUUUUUACAUGUUCAUACCCCUGUAUAAUCACCUCCCAGAACAACACAGAAAAUACUUCAUAUAAAUGGAAUCAUACAGUGUGUUUUCUCUUGUGUCUGGUUUCUUUCACUCAAUGUUUUUGAGGUGAAUCCACAUUAUUGUGUGGAUUAGAACGCUGUUCUCUUAAAAUUUCUGUUUGACAUUACGUUAUAUGAAUAUGCCACAAUUUGUUUAUUCAUUCUCCAAUUGAUGGACAUUUGGGUUGUUUCCAAUUUGGGACUAUGACAAAUGAAGCAGCUAUGAACAUUCUUGAACACUUAUUUUUGUGGUACAUGCACUCAUAUCUCCUGGGCAUAUGCAUAGGAGUGAAAUUGAUGGUCAUAUAUUUAUCUGAGUUAUUCUAUUAAAGCUCAAAAUGAUCAAUAUUCAAAA